Sarcophilus harrisii (Tasmanian devil) is the source of this 581-nucleotide non-coding RNA. The record is from the annotation of a RefSeq genome assembly. Lineage: Eukaryota; Metazoa; Chordata; Mammalia; Dasyuromorphia; Dasyuridae.
UGGGGAGGAGGAUGCUGGUAGUCAGAGCUCAGGCACAUGGAGAUGGGGUCCCAGGCUCAGAUGCUUUUUCUCCUGUUGUUCUGGAUCCCAGAUGCCCGAGCGGCCGUUGUGCUGACCCAGUCUCCAGCCUCCCUGGCUGCGGCUCCAGGAGAGAGAGUCACCAUGUCCUGCAAGGCCAGUCAGGGUAUUAGCGAUUACCUACACUGGUACCAACAGAAACCGGGCCAGGCCCCUCGGCUCCUCAUUAGGUUUGCAAACAUACUGCAAUCUGGGGUCCCUGCCCGGUUCAGUGGCAGUGGCUCUGGGACCUAUUUCUCCCUCACAAUCAGCAACAUGGAGGCUGAGGACGCUGCAAUCUAUUACUGUCAGCAGAGUAAUACCUCUCCUCCCACAGUGAUACAUCCCCCAACAAAAACCUGCCCAGCAGCUGUGAAGUGGCAUCAGUGUUCCAGGGGCUUCUCCUUCCCCUCAGCUGGGAUGGGGACAGUGUGUCUGGGCUGCCUCCGGGGAGGUUUCUAGGUCUCAGAGGAAGAUGCUGGGGCUGUGACAAGUUCUGCCCUUGUUUUCCUUUUCCAGCCAAA